Molecule: microRNA precursor, 105 nt
Filed under: Prunus persica (peach)
Lineage: Eukaryota; Viridiplantae; Streptophyta; Magnoliopsida; Rosales; Rosaceae
Description: MIR6274 microRNA precursor family
Rfam family: MIR6274 microRNA precursor family
Source: Rfam by way of RNAcentral
GGAUAUUACUUUUUGUUAUUUUCGGCCAAUGAUGUAAUGAUAUGUGAAAUAAUUUUUUCACGUGUCAUUGUGUUAUUGGCUGAAAAGAGCAAAACAGUAUUAUCU